UACGUAGGGUGCGAGCGUUAAUCGGAAUUACUGGGCGUAAAGUGUGCGCAGGUGGCCGCGCAAGUCGAGUGUGAAAUCCCCGGGCUUAACUUGGGAAUUGCGCUCGAAACUACGUGGCUCGAGUGUGGCAGAGGGGGGUGGAAUUCCACGUGUAGCGGUGAAAUGCGUAGAGAUGUGGAGGAAUACCAGUGGCGCAAGCGGCGCUCUGGGUCACAUCUGACACUGAGACGCGAAGGCAUGGGGAGCGAACGGG
RNAcentral lists this ribosomal RNA (253 nucleotides) under uncultured bacterium. Its description in RNAcentral is "partial 16S ribosomal RNA". It matches the Rfam family "Bacterial small subunit ribosomal RNA", at positions 524 to 776 of the family's 1533-position model. The record is from RNAcentral.